AUUGAACGCUGGCGGCAGGCCUAACACAUGCAAGUCGAGCGGAUGAAGGGAGCUUGCUCCUGGAUUCAGCGGCGGACGGGUGAGUAAUGCCUAGGAAUCUGCCUGGUAGUGGGGGAUAACGUCCGGAAACGGGCGCUAAUACCGCAUACGUCCUGAGGGAGAAAGUGGGGGAUCUUCGGACCUCACGCUAUCAGAUGAGCCUAGGUCGGAUUAGCUAGUUGGUGGGGUAAAGGCCUACCAAGGCGACGAUCCGUAACUGGUCUGAGAGGAUGAUCAGUCACACUGGAACUGAGACACGGUCCAGACUCCUACGGGAGGCAGCAGUGGGGAAUAUUGGACAAAGGGCGAAAGCCUGAUCCAGCCAUGCCGCGUGUGUGAAGAAGGUCUUAGGAUUGUAAAGCACUUUAAGUUGGGAGGAAGGGCAGUAAGUUAAUACCUUGCUGUUUUGACGUUACCAACAGAAUAAGCACCGGCUAACUUCGUG
Molecule: ribosomal RNA, 484 nt
Filed under: uncultured bacterium
Lineage: Bacteria
Description: partial 16S ribosomal RNA
Rfam family: Bacterial small subunit ribosomal RNA
Source: RNAcentral